This 456-nucleotide ribosomal RNA is filed under the name Debilia sp. 00004614. Its description in RNAcentral is "eukaryotic LSU rRNA". It matches the Rfam family "Eukaryotic large subunit ribosomal RNA", at positions 696 to 1091 of the family's 3401-position model. Lineage: Eukaryota; Metazoa; Arthropoda; Insecta; Hemiptera; Reduviidae. The record is from RNAcentral.
AAAAGUUGAGUUUAUAAAAAAGGAAUUUAUUCUUUUUUUAUUUUUCUCUUUUUCUUGAGGGAAGAUGAGAAUUUAAUUUAUAAUAUUUUAUAUAUUAUUUAUUUAAAUUUUUCGCAUUCCCAGGGCGCUUGUUUCACGCUUUGCGUGUCGAUGCGCACCUAGAGCGUACACGCUGAUACCCGAAAGAUGGUGAACUAUGCCUGGCCAGGACGAAGCCAGGGGAAACCCUGGUGGAGGUCCGCAGCGAUUCUGACGUGCAAAUCGAUCGUCGGAGCUGGGUAUAGGGGCGAAAGACCAAUCGAACCAUCUAGUAGCUGGUUCCCUCUGAAGUUUCCCUCAGGAUAGCUUGCGCUCGAUUCAGAGUCUCAUCCGGUAGAGCGAAUGAUUAGAGGCAUUGGGGUCGAAACGACCUCAACCUAUUCUCAAACUCCAAAUAGAUGAGAUCCCCGGCUUUCU